Molecule: ribosomal RNA, 434 nt
Filed under: uncultured organism
Description: bacterial SSU rRNA
Rfam family: Bacterial small subunit ribosomal RNA
Source: RNAcentral
GUGCACCAGGCGCGAAUUUUUCACAAUGGGGGAAACCCUGAUGGAGCGACGCCGCGUGGAGGAUGAAGGCGUUUUCGUCGUAAACUCCUGUCAAACGGGAACAAGAAAGUGAUAGUACCGUUAGAGGAAGAGGCGGCUAACUCUGUGCCAGCAGCCGCGGUAAUACAGAGGCCUCAAGCGUUGUUCGGAUUCAUUGGGCGUAAAGGGUGCGUAGGUGGCUUGGUAAGUUGAAGGUGAAAUCUCGGGGCUUAACUCCGAAACUGCCUUCAAUACUGCCGAGCUCGAGGAUUGUAGAGGAGAAUGGAAUUCACGGUGUAGCAGUGAAAUGCGUAGAUAUCGUGAGGAAGACCAGUGGCGAAGGCGAUUCUCUGGGCAAUUCCUGACACUGAGGCACGAAGGCUAGGGGAGCAAACGGGAUUAGAUACCCGGGUAGU